RNAcentral lists this ribosomal RNA (1372 nucleotides) under uncultured bacterium. RNAcentral's name for it is "bacterial SSU rRNA". It matches the Rfam family "Bacterial small subunit ribosomal RNA", at positions 28 to 1381 of the family's 1533-position model. The record is from RNAcentral.
GAUGAACGCUGGCGGCGUGCCUAAUACAUGCAAGUCGAGCGAACGGACGAGAAGCUUGCUUCUCUGAUGUUAGCGGCGGACGGGUGAGUAACACGUGGAUAACCUACCUAUAAGACUGGGAUAACUUCGGGAAACCGGAGCUAAUACCGGAUAAUAUUUUGAACCGCAUGGUUCAAAAGUGAAAGACGGUCUUGCUGUCACUUAUAGAUGGAUCCGCGCUGCAUUAGCUAGUUGGUAAGGUAACGGCUUACCAAGGCAACGAUGCAUAGCCGACCUGAGAGGGUGAUCGGCCACACUGGAACUGAGACACGGUCCAGACUCCUACGGGAGGCAGCAGUAGGGAAUCUUCCGCAAUGGGCGAAAGCCUGACGGAGCAACGCCGCGUGAGUGAUGAAGGUCUUCGGAUCGUAAAACUCUGUUAUUAGGGAAGAACAUAUGUGUAAGUAACUGUGCACAUCUUGACGGUACCUAAUCAGAAAGCCACGGCUAACUACGUGCCAGCAGCCGCGGUAAUACGUAGGUGGCAAGCGUUAUCCGGAAUUAUUGGGCGUAAAGCGCGGGUAGGCGGUUUUUUAAGUCUGAUGUGAAAGCCCACGGCUCAACCGUGGAGGGUCAUUGGAAACUGGAAAACUUGAGUGCAGAAGAGGAAAGUGGAAUUCCAUGUGUAGCGGUGAAAUGCGCAGAGAUAUGGAGGAACACCAGUGGCGAAGGCGACUUUCUGGUCUGUAACUGACGCUGAUGUGCGAAAGCGUGGGGAUCAAACAGGAUUAGAUACCCUGGUAGUCCACGCCGUAAACGAUGAGUGCUAAGUGUUAGGGGGUUUCCGCCCCUUAGUGCUGCAGCUAACGCAUUACGCACUCCGCCUGGGGAGUACGACCGCAAGGUUGAAACUCAAAGGAAUUGACGGGGACCCGCACAAGCGGUGGAGCAUGUGGUUUAAUUCGAAGCAACGCGAAGAACCUUACCAAAUCUUGACAUCCUUUGACAACUCUAGAGAUAGAGCUUUCCCCUUCGGGGGACAAAGUGACAGGUGGUGCAUGGUUGUCGUCAGCUCGUGUCGUGAGAUGUUGGGUUAAGUCCCGCAACGAGCGCAACCCUUAAGCUUAGUUGCCAUCAUUAAGUUGGGCACUCUAAGUUGACUGCCGGUGACAAACCGGAGGAAGGUGGGGAUGACGUCAAAUCAUCAUGCCCCUUAUGAUUUGGGCUACACACGUGCUACAAUGGACAAUACAAAGGGCAGCGAAACCGCGAGGUCAAGCAAAUCCCAUAAAGUUGUUCUCAGUUCGGAUUGUAGUCUGCAACUCGACUACAUGAAGCUGGAAUCGCUAGUAAUCGUAGAUCAGCAUGCUACGGUGAAUACGUUCCCGGGUCU